CGGGGAUAGCCCAUGGAAACGUGGAUUAACACCCCAUAGUACUUUUAUCCUGCAUGGGAUGUGAGUUAAAUGUUUAAGGUAUCGGAUGGGCAUGCGUCCUAUUAGUUAGUUGGCGGGGUAACAGCCCACCAAGACGAUGAUAGGUAGGGGUUCUGAGAGGAAGGUCCCCCACAUUGGAACUGAGACACGGUCCAAACUCCUACGGGAGGCAGCAGUGAGGAAUAUUGGUCAAUGGACGAGAGUCUGAACCAGCCAAGUCGCGUGAGGGAAGACUGCCCUAUGGGUUGUAAACCUCUUUUAUAAGGGAAGAAUAAGUUCUACGUGUAGAAUGAUGCCUGUACCUUAUGAAUAAGCAUCGGCUAACUCCGUGCCAGCAGCCGCGGUAAUACGGAGGAUGCGAGCGUUAUCCGGAUUUAUUGGGUUUAAAGGGUGCGUAGGCGGUUUAUUAAGUUAGUGGUUAAAUAUUUGAGCUAAACUCAAUUGUGCCAUUAAUACUGGUAAACUGGAGUACAGACGAGGUAGGCGGAAUAAGUUAAGUAGCGGUGAAAUGCAUAGAUAUAACUUAGAACUCCGAUAGCGAAGGCAGCUUACCAGACUGUAACUGACGCUGAUGCACGAGAGCGUGGGUAGCGAACAGGAUUAGAUACCCUGGUAGUCCACGCCGUAAACGAUGCUCACUGGUUCUGUGCGAUAUAUUGUACGGGAUUAAGCGAAAGUAUUAAGUGAGCCACCUGGGGAGUACGUCGGCAACGAUGAAACUCAAAGGAAUUGACGGGGGCCCGCACAAGCGGAGGAACAUGUGGUUUAAUUCGAUGAUACGCGAGGAACCUUACCUGGGUUUAAAUGGGAAAUGUCGUAUUUGGAAACAGAUAUUCUCUUCGGAGCGUUUUUCAAGGUGCUGCAUGGUUGUCGUCAGCUCGUGCCGUGAGGUGUCGGCUUAAGUCCCAUAACGAGCGCAACCCUUACCGUUAGUUGCUAGCAUGUAAUGAUGAGCACUCUAACGGGACUGCCACCGUAAGGUGAGAGGAAGGCGGGGAUGACGUCAAAUCAGCACGGCCCUUACACCCAGGGCUACACACGUGUUACAAUGGCCGGUACAGAGGGCCGCUACCAGGUGACUGGAUGCCAAUCUCAAAAGCCGGUCGUAGUUCGGAUUGGAGUCUGUAACCCGACUCCAUGAAGUUGGAUUCGCUAGUAAUCGCGCAUCAGCCAUGG
RNAcentral lists this ribosomal RNA (1215 nucleotides) under human gut metagenome. RNAcentral describes it as "bacterial SSU rRNA". It matches the Rfam family "Bacterial small subunit ribosomal RNA", at positions 138 to 1357 of the family's 1533-position model. The record is from RNAcentral.